RNAcentral lists this ribosomal RNA (301 nucleotides) under uncultured bacterium. Its description in RNAcentral is "partial 16S ribosomal RNA". It matches the Rfam family "Bacterial small subunit ribosomal RNA", at positions 509 to 807 of the family's 1533-position model. The record is from RNAcentral.
CAGCCGCCGCGGGAAAACAGAGGGUGCGAGCGUUAAUCGGAUUUACUGGGCGUAAAGCGUGCGUAGGCGGCUAAUUGAGUCGGAUGUGAAAUCCCCGGGCUCAACCUGGGAACUGCAUCCAAAACUGGCGAGCUAGAGUAUGGUAGAGGGUGGUGGAAUUUCCUGUGUAGCGGUGAAAUGCGUAGAUAUAGGAAGGAACAUCAGUGGCGAAGGCGACCACCUGGACUGAUACUGACACUGAGGUGCGAAAGCGUGGGGAGCAAACAGGAUUAGAUACCCCUGUAGUCCCUGUCUCUUAUAC